GACGAACGCUGGCGGCGUGCUUAACACAUGCCAGUCGAACGGAAAGGCUCCAGCUUGCUGGAGUACUCGAGUGGCGAACGGGUGAGUAACACGUGGGUAAUCUGCCCUGCACUCUGGGAUAAGCCUGGGAAACUGGGUCUAAUACUGGAUAUGACCUUUCUCCUUAUGGGGUUUGGUGGAAAGUUUUUCGGUGUAGGAUGGGCCCGCGGCCUAUCAGCUUGUUGGUGGGGUGAUGGCCUACCACGGCGACGGCGGGUAGCCGGCCUGAGAGGGUGAUCGGCCACAUUGGGACUGAGAUACGGCCCAGACUCCUACGGGAGGCAGCAGUGGGGAAUAUUGCACAAUGGGCGGAAGCCUGAUGCAGCGACGCCGCGUGAGGGAUGACGGCCUUCGGGUUGUAAACCUCUUUCAGCAGGGACGAAGCGUAAGUGACGGUACCUGCAGAAGAAGCACCGGCUAACUACGUG
This 467-nucleotide ribosomal RNA is filed under the name uncultured bacterium. RNAcentral describes it as "partial 16S ribosomal RNA". It matches the Rfam family "Bacterial small subunit ribosomal RNA", at positions 28 to 507 of the family's 1533-position model. The record is from RNAcentral.